This 253-nucleotide ribosomal RNA is filed under the name uncultured bacterium. RNAcentral's name for it is "partial 16S ribosomal RNA". It matches the Rfam family "Bacterial small subunit ribosomal RNA", at positions 524 to 776 of the family's 1533-position model. The record is from RNAcentral.
UACGAAGGGGGCUAGCGUUGUUCGGAAUCACUGGGCGUAAAGGGCGCGUAGGCGGCUUUAUAAGUCGGGGGUGAAAGCCUGUGGCUCAACCACAGAAUUGCCUUCGAUACUGUAUGGCUUGAGACCGGAAGAGGUAGGUGGAACUGCGAGUGUAGAGGUGAAAUUCGUAGAUAUUCGCAAGAACACCAGUGGCGAAGGCGGCUCACUGGCCCGAUACUGACGCUGAGGCACGAAAGCGUGGGGAGCAUACAGG